CCUACGGGAGGCUGCAGUGGGGAAUAUUGCACAAUGGGGGGAACCUUGAUGCAGCAACGCCGCGUGGGUGAAGAAGUACUCCGGUAUGUAAAGCCCUGUCAGAAGGGAAGAAAAUGACGGUACCUGACCAAGAAGCCCCGGCUAACUACGUGCCAGCAGCCGCGGUAAUACGUAGGGGCCAAGCGUUAUCCGGAUUUACUGGGUGUAAAGGGGUCGUAGACGGAAAGGCAAGUCUGGAGUGAAAGCCCGUGGCCCAACCACGGGACUGCUUGGGAAACUGUGUAGCUGGAGUGCAGGAGGGGUAAGCGGAAGUCCUAGUGUAGCGGUGAAAUGCGUAGAUAUUAGGAGGAACACCGGUGGCGAAGGCGGCUUACUGGACUGUAACUGACGUUGAGGCUCGAAGGCGUGGGGAGCAAACAGGAUUAGAUACCCCUGUAGUC
Molecule: ribosomal RNA, 440 nt
Filed under: uncultured bacterium
Lineage: Bacteria
Description: partial 16S ribosomal RNA
Rfam family: Bacterial small subunit ribosomal RNA
Source: RNAcentral